RNAcentral lists this ribosomal RNA (253 nucleotides) under uncultured bacterium. RNAcentral's name for it is "partial 16S ribosomal RNA". It matches the Rfam family "Bacterial small subunit ribosomal RNA", at positions 524 to 776 of the family's 1533-position model. The record is from RNAcentral.
UACAGAGGGUGCGAGCGUUAAUCGGAAUUACUGGGCGUAAAGCGCACGUAGGUGGCGACGUAAGUCGGGUGUGAAAGCCCUGGGCUCAACCUGGGAAUUGCAUUCGAGACUGCAUUGCUGGAGUACGGAAGAGGAAGGCGGAGUUCCCGGUGUAGCGGUGAAAUGCGUAGAUAUCGGGAGGAACAUCAGUGGCGAAGGCGGCCUUCUGGUCCAGUACUGACACUCAAGUGCGAAAGCGUGGGGAGCAAACAGG